UGAGGAAUAUUGGUCAAUGGGCGAGAGCCUGAACCAGCCAAGUAGCGUGCAGGAUGACGGCCCUAUGGGUUGUAAACUGCUUUUAUGUGGGGAUAAAGUGCGUGACGUGUCAUGCAUUGCAGGUACCACAUGAAUAAGGACCGGCUAAUUCCGUGCCAGCAGCCGCGGUAAUACGGAAGGUCCGGGCGUUAUCCGGAUUUAUUGGGUUUAAAGGGAGCGUAGGCUGUCUAUUAAGCGUGUUGUGAAAUUUACCUGCUCAACCGGUGGCUUGCAGCGCGAACUGGUCGACUUGAGUAUGCAGGAAGUAGGCGGAAUUCAUGGUGUAGCGGUGAAAUGCUUAGAUAUCAUGACGAACUCCGAUUGCGCAGGCAGCUUACUGUAGCAUAACUGACGCUGAUGCUCGAAAGUGCGGGUAUCAAACAGG
This 424-nucleotide ribosomal RNA is filed under the name Fusobacteriota bacterium. Its description in RNAcentral is "Fusobacteria bacterium partial 16S ribosomal RNA". It matches the Rfam family "Bacterial small subunit ribosomal RNA", at positions 355 to 776 of the family's 1533-position model. The record is from RNAcentral. Lineage: Bacteria; Fusobacteriati; Fusobacteriota.